UUCUCUCUCUCUCUCUCUCUGAGCCCGAGGACUUCCUCCUCAAAGUCCGACGUCAUUUUUGUUUACAAUGCAACUGCCAUAAGAGAAUUUAUUCUACUUACAUUCAUCUUCCACACGAUCAUCUCUCAACUAUUAGAAUUCUCACCACCAUCACCAUCAUCAUCACCCUUUGAAACUCAAGUGGACUCUGCUUUUCGUGAGAGCCUGAGGAGCUCGUAAAGGCUCUGACUUUUAUGUGGAAGUAGCUGCUUCUGAAUUCAAAAAUGAGAAGAAGAGUUAUAUCUGCAUGCCAACUUCUAUCAGCUUUUCAGUAUCAAGAAAACAAUUGCUCUGUUAAUUUGGUGAGAAGGCAACAACCCCUUUUGAUAGAUGCUAAUUGCACCACUUCUGUUUGUAGACCUAUCAGUUCUGCUGAUAAUGAGAGAUUUCUAUGCCCCAAACUUCUCAUCUCAAGAGCUCUGUCAACAGAAGCUGCUAAAUUUUCUAAACAAGAUGCGAACAGAGCAGGUCCGCUUGUAGAGUAUGAAAGAAGAAUCGCUGCUAGUGAGCUUGUGGAUGGUGAUAGCUGUCAGGUAGGCACCUUAAGGGAACUUCAAAGACUCUAUGAUGAGCUUGUUAAGUCAGCUGAUGCCUGUAAGUUGGAUCGCUAUUCUGCUUCUGACAAAUCUGGAAGGAGUAGGUGGUUGUGGUCUCGUUUCAUGCCACAAUCUUCACAUUCGCCGGUUGAAGGACUAUAUCUUUAUGGAGGAGUAGGCACUGGGAAGACUAUGUUGAUGGACUUAUUCUUUGACCAAUUGUAAGCUUGUCAUGUAGUUUUCAUUUGUUACAGACUCUGGCUUUAUUGAGAAUCAAAAGAAGCAAACAUAAAAUAGAACAUCAGUACGGUAAGAAUAGAAUAGUUUCAUCACAUACAGCUGGUUUUAUCAACUGACAUUUUUUUCUCAGGCCGUGGAACUGGAGGAAAAAGAGGAUUCAUUUUCAUGAUUUCAUGUUGAAUGUCCAUAGCCGCUUGCAGAAGCACAAGGGUGUGGCAGAUCCGCUUGAAGUUGUUGCGGGAGAAAUAUCUGACGAGGCAAUCUUAUUAUGUCUAGAUGAAUUCAUGGUAUACUAGUUGCAUAGCACUAGAUGCUUGUGAUUUUUUUUAUCAAACAAGUUCUCUAUUUUUGUGGCAAGAUGCUCAUGUAGGUACCUUUUACAGGUGACUGAUGUUGCAGAUGCAUUGAUAUUGAACCGUUUAUUCAGACAUCUAUUCAGCAAUGGCAUUGUAAGUCUACUUUGUGUUAUCUAUAAAUCUCUACAAUAUGAUUAAAUAUCUAUGUUUUCAGAUGAAAAUUAAAUUGGAAACUGGAACUUAUAUGCAUAUGCAUGAUGGAAGCAAGUGUAGAUUCUUGUGGCCACCUCAAAUCGUGCUCCUGAUAAUCUUUAUGAAGGUGGAUUGCAGAGAGAUCUUUUUCUACCAUUUAUUGCAACUUUGAAGGUGGUUGUAUACAUAUAGUCUUACUUUGGUUGUUAGACAGGAUUAUGCUGUGGUAAGAGUUGGUAUGCUUUUCUGAUAUUAUAGGCAAAUAAAGUUAACAUCUGGAUUAUAUUGUUGUAGGAAAGAUGUGUGGUUCAUGAAAUUGGUUCAUUAGUAGACUAUCGGAAGAUGACAUCGGUAAAGUUUUGAUAAUCUGUGUAGAUUAGUAAAAAGUUCACUUCUUACAUGCAUCAUAACUUGCUUGACAUCAAUGAAUACACGUGGUACGCAGGCUGAGCAAGGUUUCUACUUUGUUGGUAAAGAUUUAUCGGGCCUCCUUAAGCUAAAGUUUCAAGAAUUGGUUGGGGAGCAAACAGCUGGUCCCCAAGAGGUGGAAGUAGUAAUGGGAAGGACAUUGCAGGUUCCACUGGGUGCUGAUGGAUGUGCAUAUUUUUCCUUUGAGGAAUUGUGUGACAAGCCUCUUGGAGCUGCAGAUUAUUUUGGAUUGUUCAAGAACUUCCAUACCCUGGCAUUGGAAGGUGUCCCAAUCUUUGGACUUCACAACAGGACAGCAGCAUAUCGGUUUGUCACUUUGGUUGAUGUAAUGUAUGAGAACAGGGCCAGGCUAUUGUGUACAGCGGAGGGGAGUCCUCUAGAACUUUUUAGAAAGGUUGUUACAGUUUCUGAUGCAAAACAAAUGGCACCUAGAACCUCCACGAGAUCAAGGAGAAAUGAUGAUUCUGACCUCUGUGUAGACAAUGAACUGGGAUUUGCAAAAGACCGUACAAUUAGUAGAUUGACAGAGAUGAAUAGCAAAGAAUAUUUAGAGCAUCAUGCUGCCAUAUUAACUGAGAAGCAGCUCUUACAGGAAGAUGUUAAUGCAAACGCUGUGCUAGGGUGAGAUGGCAGGGAUCCGGUAUCAUUAACUAAAACAUAAUAAACUGAUGUCAUUGGUUAUACAAUUUGAGGUUCACUAACCUGAUCAUGGUUUUUUUGCCAAAUUGGGUAUAGUUUUCAUAAAAAAUCUCAAGUCAUAGUGAAUAAAAUGCAAUUUAUCAUCUGUAAAAUAUAAAUUCUAGCAGCUUGAUUGCAACAAAAAUUAUAUGCUGUCAGAUGGGUGAUUCCUGCUCUCAAUAAUGCUGUUGAAUUUAAAUCAGUCAUUGUUACAGGCCAGAGUUUCACCCUAAUGUAACAAAUAUGUAGCCUGGUUGUUGAAGUUAAUUAUAUGAGCCUUUUCCAUUUUUUUUGGUUCCAGGAUGGGCGGUUAUCUCCUGCUGUGAGAUCCGUGGUACGAUAAGCUCAUGCAUCUCCAAGCAAUUAUUUCCUCUGCUUUGGUCGAAAUGGAAAUAUAAAUUUCUUAAGCUUGUGCCUCAAUUUUUCUCAUUUUGUUUAAUAAGAAUGAAAAGCAGAUUACAGUUCUAAUGUCAUUUGUUUACAAGAUGUCUUGCAUCAGUAGCGUUAGCAUUUACUAAUUACAUGGAAAAAUGGACACUAAUUAGGAAAUUGGGAAGAGUGAUCUCAAUUAUGAUUUCAUAUUCGCUAUAAGUAGCUUGUGUAGGUUGGUUCAAAAUACUCUGUACUUCCAAGGGAGUAACUGUAGGGAACUUACUUUCUG
This 3071-nucleotide unclassified non-coding RNA is filed under the name Hevea brasiliensis (rubber tree). The record is from RNAcentral. Lineage: Eukaryota; Viridiplantae; Streptophyta; Magnoliopsida; Malpighiales; Euphorbiaceae.